RNAcentral lists this ribosomal RNA (2289 nucleotides) under Bacillus anthracis (anthrax bacterium). RNAcentral's name for it is "bacterial LSU rRNA". It matches the Rfam family "Bacterial large subunit ribosomal RNA", at positions 634 to 2925 of the family's 2925-position model. Lineage: Bacteria; Bacillati; Bacillota; Bacilli; Caryophanales; Bacillaceae. The record is from RNAcentral.
UCCCGUGCGAGGUUAAGCUGAAGAGGCGGAGCCGCAGCGAAAGCGAGUCUGAAUAGGGCGUUUAGUACGUGGUCGUAGACCCGAAACCAGGUGAUCUACCCAUGUCCAGGGUGAAGUUCAGGUAACACUGAAUGGAGGCCCGAACCCACGCACGUUGAAAAGUGCGGGGAUGAGGUGUGGGUAGCGGAGAAAUUCCAAUCGAACCUGGAGAUAGCUGGUUCUCCCCGAAAUAGCUUUAGGGCUAGCCUUAAGUGUAAGAGUCUUGGAGGUAGAGCACUGAUUGGACUAGGGGUCCUCAUCGGAUUACCGAAUUCAGUCAAACUCCGAAUGCCAAUGACUUAUCCUUAGGAGUCAGACUGCGAGUGAUAAGAUCCGUAGUCAAAAGGGAAACAGCCCAGACCGCCAGCUAAGGUCCCAAAGUGUGUAUUAAGUGGAAAAGGAUGUGGAGUUGCUUAGACAACUAGGAUGUUGGCUUAGAAGCAGCCACCAUUUAAAGAGUGCGUAAUAGCUCACUAGUCGAGUGACUCUGCGCCGAAAAUGUACCGGGGCUAAAUACACCACCGAAGCUGCGGAUUGAUACCAAUGGUAUCAGUGGUAGGGGAGCGUUCUAAGGACAGUGAAGUCAGACCGGAAGGACUGGUGGAGUGCUUAGAAGUGAGAAUGCCGGUAUGAGUAGCGAAAGACGGGUGAGAAUCCCGUCCACCGAAUGCCUAAGGUUUCCUGAGGAAGGCUCGUCCGCUCAGGGUUAGUCAGGACCUAAGCCGAGGCCGACAGGCGUAGGCGAUGGACAACAGGUUGAUAUUCCUGUACCACCUCUUUAUCGUUUGAGCAAUGGAGGGACGCAGAAGGAUAGAAGAAGCGUGCGAUUGGUUGUGCACGUCCAAGCAGUUAGGCUGAUAAGUAGGCAAAUCCGCUUAUCGUGAAGGCUGAGCUGUGAUGGGGAAGCUCCUUAUGGAGCGAAGUCUUUGAUUCCCCGCUGCCAAGAAAAGCUUCUAGCGAGAUAAAAGGUGCCUGUACCGCAAACCGACACAGGUAGGCGAGGAGAGAAUCCUAAGGUGUGCGAGAGAACUCUGGUUAAGGAACUCGGCAAAAUGACCCCGUAACUUCGGGAGAAGGGGUGCUUUCUUAACGGAAAGCCGCAGUGAAUAGGCCCAAGCGACUGUUUAGCAAAAACACAGCUCUCUGCGAAGCCGUAAGGCGAAGUAUAGGGGGUGACACCUGCCCGGUGCUGGAAGGUUAAGGAGAGGGGUUAGCGUAAGCGAAGCUCUGAACUGAAGCCCCAGUAAACGGCGGCCGUAACUAUAACGGUCCUAAGGUAGCGAAAUUCCUUGUCGGGUAAGUUCCGACCCGCACGAAAGGUGUAACGAUUUGGGCACUGUCUCAACCAGAGACUCGGUGAAAUUAUAGUACCUGUGAAGAUGCAGGUUACCCGCGACAGGACGGAAAGACCCCGUGGAGCUUUACUGUAGCCUGAUAUUGAAUUUUGGUACAGUUUGUACAGGAUAGGCGGGAGCCUUUGAAACCGGAGCGCUAGCUUCGGUGGAGGCGCUGGUGGGAUACCGCCCUGACUGUAUUGAAAUUCUAACCUACGGGUCUUAUCGACCCGGGAGACAGUGUCAGGUGGGCAGUUUGACUGGGGCGGUCGCCUCCUAAAGUGUAACGGAGGCGCCCAAAGGUUCCCUCAGAAUGGUUGGAAAUCAUUCGUAGAGUGCAAAGGCAUAAGGGAGCUUGACUGCGAGACCUACAAGUCGAGCAGGGACGAAAGUCGGGCUUAGUGAUCCGGUGGUUCCGCAUGGAAGGGCCAUCGCUCAACGGAUAAAAGCUACCCCGGGGAUAACAGGCUUAUCUCCCCCAAGAGUCCACAUCGACGGGGAGGUUUGGCACCUCGAUGUCGGCUCAUCGCAUCCUGGGGCUGUAGUCGGUCCCAAGGGUUGGGCUGUUCGCCCAUUAAAGCGGUACGCGAGCUGGGUUCAGAACGUCGUGAGACAGUUCGGUCCCUAUCCGUCGUGGGCGUAGGAAAUUUGAGAGGAGCUGUCCUUAGUACGAGAGGACCGGGAUGGACGCACCGCUGGUGUACCAGUUGUUCUGCCAAGGGCAUAGCUGGGUAGCUAUGUGCGGAAGGGAUAAGUGCUGAAAGCAUCUAAGCAUGAAGCCCCCCUCAAGAUGAGAUUUCCCAUAGCGUAAGCUAGUAAGAUCCCUGAAAGAUGAUCAGGUUGAUAGGUUCGAGGUGGAAGCAUGGUGACAUGUGGAGCUGACGAAUACUAAUAGAUCGAGGACUUAACCAUAUAA